Long non-coding RNA from Silurus meridionalis, 574 nucleotides. RefSeq lists it as uncharacterized. NCBI's taxonomy places the organism in Eukaryota, Metazoa, Chordata, Actinopteri, Siluriformes, Siluridae. The record is from RefSeq and is a predicted model, not a curated record. The transcript has 3 exons.
UACCUACAUCCUGAUCAGUACAGGUGCAGUGGUGUUCAUUUUGUUGUGAUCAUAGCAAUCUACUGCAAAAGAAAAUGUCAAGGACCUGUAACAUCUUCCAAAAGACAAGUGAUAUUUAUGAAAAUGACCAAAAUAUCAAUUCUCUUCAAUCAAGAGUAAACAUCAAAUUACCUGAAUUACCAGACCCAACCACCGAGCAAUCAGAAUCAAUCUAUCAGAAUCAAUAAGAUUCAGUCUACUAGAAUCUGGCAGUCUCUAAUAGCAAAUAAGAUGUGGAUAAGAUUUAAACCCUCUCAGUGUUUACUGGUUUCCCAGCAGGCAUUGUUCUUGGCCUGUGGAUUAUUCAUUUUCUGUAUUGCUUAUUACAUUAUUAUGCAUAGACCCAAAUGUAAAGCCUCCUAUUGCAGAAUUUACACUUAAUUUAUUUCACCUUUUAUGUAACUUUAAGUAAAAUGUAACAUGAGUAUAAUUGUGUAUUCAUUUUUCCAAUUUUAUGUCUAAUUCCACAGGAAAGUAAAUGAAAUAAUAAAUACAUUUACACAGAAUGAUUGAAUGUACAUUUUCACAUGGUUUG